AAGUCGUAACAAGGUUUCCGUAGGUGAACCUGCGGAAGGAUCAUUAUUGAAUUAAUGUAGAGUUGGUUGUAGCUGGCAUUUCCUUUAAUUUGGGGAUUGCAUGUGCACACCUUCUCUUUCAUCCACACACCCCUGUGCACUUGUGAGACAGAUUGCUUUUUGGAGGGGGAACUUUAUUGGACCCUUUCUUUUUGGCUCUCUGUCUACUUAAUUAAUAUAAACUCAAUUUAUUUUAAAAUGAAUGUAAUGGAUGUAACACAUCUAAUACUAAGUUUCAACAACGGAUCUCUUGGCUCUU
This 298-nucleotide unclassified non-coding RNA is filed under the name fungal sp. Its description in RNAcentral is "partial internal transcribed spacer region". The stretch from base 1 to 46 matches the Rfam family "Eukaryotic small subunit ribosomal RNA", at positions 1786 to 1831 of the family's 1831-position model. The record is from RNAcentral. Lineage: Eukaryota; Fungi.